RNAcentral lists this ribosomal RNA (435 nucleotides) under uncultured bacterium. RNAcentral describes it as "bacterial SSU rRNA". It matches the Rfam family "Bacterial small subunit ribosomal RNA", at positions 335 to 762 of the family's 1533-position model. The record is from RNAcentral.
ACUCCUACGGGAGGCAGCAGUGGGGAAUAUUGCACAAUGGGCGCAAGCCUGAUGCAGCCAUGCCGCGUGUAUGAAGAAGGCCUUCGGGUUGUAAAGUACUUUCAGCAGUGAGGAAGGCGGGUGUGUUAAUAGCGCAUUCGUUUGACGUUAGCUGCAGAAGAAGCACCGGCUAACUCCGUGCCAGCAGCCGCGGUAAUACGGAGGGUGCGAGCGUUAAUCGGAAUUACUGGGCGUAAAGCGCAUGCAGGUGGUUUGUUAAGUCAGAUGUGAAAGCCCGGGGCUCAACCUCGGAAUUGCAUUUGAAACUGGCAGACUAGAGUACUGUAGAGGGGGGUAGAAUUUCAGGUGUAGCGGUGAAAUGCGUAGAGAUCUGAAGGAAUACCGGUGGCGAAGGCGGCCCCCUGGACAGAUACUGACACUCAGAUGCGAAAGCGU